This 395-nucleotide unclassified non-coding RNA is filed under the name soil metagenome. Its description in RNAcentral is "partial contains 5.8S ribosomal RNA, internal transcribed spacer 2, and large subunit ribosomal RNA". The stretch from base 1 to 120 matches the Rfam family "5.8S ribosomal RNA", at positions 35 to 154 of the family's 154-position model. The record is from RNAcentral.
GAUGAAGAACGCAGCGAAUUGCGAUAUGUAAUGUGAAUUGCAGAAUUCAGUGAAUCAUCGAAUCUUUGAACGCACCUUGCGCCCUUUGGUAUUCCGAAGGGCAUGCCUGUUUGAGUGUUAUUAAUAUCUCACUCUUGAAAUCUUUUAUUAGGUUACAAGAUGUGGACUUUGGAGGUUUUUGCAGGCUAUCACUGGUCAGCUCCUCUUAAAUGUAUUAGCGGAACUCUAUGCAGUACCGGCUUCAGUUUGAUAAUCCUAUCUAUGCUGUCGCUGUGAACUGUUCUGUUUGGCUUAUAAUUGUCUUCGGACUGCCAUUCAUUUGGUAUAACUUUUAAGCUUAACCUCAAAUCAGGUAGGAUUACCCGCUGAACUUAAGCAUAUCAAUAAGCGGAGGA